UCUUAUGGAUGAAUGAGGAAAGUAAUUUCUCAAGAUGAAAUCUAUUCCAGGUGAUGAUGCUGUGAA
RNAcentral lists this microRNA precursor (66 nucleotides) under Marmota monax (woodchuck). The record is from RNAcentral. Lineage: Eukaryota; Metazoa; Chordata; Mammalia; Rodentia; Sciuridae.